CUUCUAUUAAUAAUUAUAUCAACAAACAUUAUGUGAUACAAUAUAAACAAUAUAUCACUCAAAACAAUAACAAAUAGGAGCAAUCAGUAUAUAUUUUCACUGAAAGUUCUCAAUUCAUAUAUAAUCAUUACAUAAAAACUUUCAGAAUCCAUUGAUCACAAUAGUUGUAAAUUAAUUGUGUGAUUACUGUACCAGGAAUUCAUCUAUAAGCUCCAGAGCCUGAGUUGCUCACAUGACAACUUUUCACUGUAUAUGGUCUACAUAUGUACCUAAACUAAUCUUAUAGAGACCCUACAUUUUUUUAAAGGUUAUAACCCUAUAGUUAUUGGGUAAUACUUGAUAGUACACAGUAAGGUCCUUAAAUUUGAAAAAAAAACCAACAUUGGUGUCCAAAUGAAAUCAAAGAAAUAAUUUAAUGAAUGUAUCAGUGUUUAGGUAUAAGGAGUUUCUCAAAAAUAUUAAAAGCUAUGAUUUUGAAAACUUAUUUCCUAAAGUGACGAUUCUCAAAACAGUUGUACCUGUCACAAUGAAAAUAAUUUCCUACAGAGCAAUCACUCUAAAAUAUUUAAAGCGGCUACUUUAAAAUAGUGCGCUACAGAGGAGAUUACUCCAAAAAUGAAUAAGGUUGCCAUGUAGAAAUACGUAUAUGGGAACUACUACAAAAUAUGCCAAUUAAAAAAAAAAUCUCCCCAUAUAUAGCUACUUAGACAUACGGAAACAAUUCUGUAUAUAUAAAAAAAAUAAAUAAUUAAAAUUCUGUUAUUACAUAACUCCAAAAGAGUAAAGACAGACAUCUUAAUAUAUGACAACACAAGUAAGUCAUAUUUAAUCGAUACAUUAUGCCUUGAUAAUGGUUACUUCAUAUCUUUAAAUUAGUUUUUGGAAAUUGUCCUGCAAAUCUAGGACACAAAUGAUAUAAAAAAGAUAUGAUUUACAACAUGUUGAACACAGGGAGAACAAAUUAAAGAAGGCACAAAAAUAUGUAAAAUAUGUCUUUAAAAUACAUGUCUUGAAAAACACAGAUAGUAAUUAUAGCAUUGACUAAUGAACAA
RNAcentral lists this long non-coding RNA (1052 nucleotides) under Mytilus galloprovincialis (Mediterranean mussel). The record is from RNAcentral. Lineage: Eukaryota; Metazoa; Mollusca; Bivalvia; Mytilida; Mytilidae.